CAGAUAGAGUCUAUUCCCUGUAGCUAUCUUGUCGUACCAGGCCACAGAGCAAUGGCAGGGAAAGCAAAUAUAUAUGACGAGUCCCAACAGGCAAUUUUAGCAUUCCACAAAGUUUUGAAGAAGUGGUCACGACUGGACUUCAGUGAAGAUUUGAGUCUGUCUUUGAUUUACGACAGUUUAGAUGUAGAGGACUUGUCAGCAAUGUCUUCACUCAUGUAUGGAUGAUCCAUGGCGGGAAAAAAAUCCUCAUGCGGUGAGGUGCACCCUACAAUUUUGAAAAUUUUAUUCACUCAGCUGUCAUUCACGGAUACAGAUUCGUCAACAAAAACAUUUCUAAUUAUGUUCAUUAAAUUCAGGGUAAUCAUGUUUAACAGAACAAUAAAAAAUAAGUAUCAGUGUU
Pecten maximus is the source of this 400-nucleotide long non-coding RNA. RefSeq lists it as uncharacterized. The record is from RefSeq and is a predicted model, not a curated record. The transcript has 3 exons. NCBI's taxonomy places the organism in Eukaryota, Metazoa, Mollusca, Bivalvia, Pectinida, Pectinidae.